AGGGAGGGACAUGGAGAACGAAAUCCCAAGUCUGAGUUUGUUGAAAUUUGUGUUGCAGAUGGUGUCGGUGGAAAUUCAAGCCAGAAGUUUAUCCCAAACGUUUUGAAGCCAGGCUGAUAAUUCACAGGGAUGCAGAUGUUGGAUGAGUGAUUGCACAGGAGCCAAAGAAUCAGACAGACUGUCUGUGGAGCUGUGAUGACAAACGGUGUGUGCAGACCUGGAGGUGAGGCAGCACUUACUGGGACUGGUGUGAGCUGCGUGCCAAGGACAGAGUACUUGGAGCCAUUCUGUUGCCUGUGAAGCUCAUGCUGCUCCGAGAGCCCUACGCAGCAGAAUGGCUAUUUGGCUACAGAAGCACAGGAGAUCUGCAUGCACGUCAAAGCUCACACAGCAAGGCUGAGAGUCUGCCCUUGCAGCAGAGGCUAAAUCCUGCUCACCUCCAGCAGAACCCUGUGGCCUCUCCCUGCUGGAUGCAGCCGGUAGGUGAGGACUGUUCCCACUUCAGUAAAUCUUCAGCAGCUGCACUUCACUUGUGGGGAAACCUCCCACGAAGGGACUCAGCCCUGCACUGCAGAACUAGAUGGGCCCUUCAGCUGCUUCCCUCUCAGCCGCACAAACCCAAGCUGUGGUUUCCUGCCUAAGCCCAUUCUCCAUCCCAUGAUAGAUGUGUCCUGCAACAUCUGGCAGUCUGUCCCCCUGUAUUUUAAAAGGUCUGGCUUCACCGUGUUGGGGCAUCGAGGCCAGAAUGCCUGAUCAGAGCCAUGAAUAAUGAGGAGUAGACCUCAAAGACACCGACCCUGCAGUAGGACUUGAAGAGCUGUCUGCAGUGGGAAAGCUGCCAUCAGGGGACAGCCAGCAAGGGAAGGCUGAUGUCUGUUGUGGAAGACUGCACUCAGGCUUUGCUCAUGUCUCAGGUAUUAAGAUCUGAUUGUGGGUACCUCCAAAUGCAGAGCACUUUUUCCACUGAUUUUAGAGACAUGGGAACAAUCUCAUUAUUUUUGUUUUCUUUUGCGUCUUGAAUGAGUAUCUGGCAAAAAAGGGUAUUGUAAUCCCUUGGCCUGUCUCCCCAGCAGGUUAUCUGCUUGUCCUCUAAUUGCAGCCCAAGCUGCUUUACUGCAGUUAAAAUGGCUGCUCUGUGCUGAUCAAAGGGGCAGUGGAAGAGACCUGGUAGUGGAAGUCCUUGCCAGGAAAAGGAGGCUUUUAUUGCAUUCUUGGGCUGGAGAAACAUUUUUGGAUAGAUGGGAGAGUGAAAUAAGACACUGGCUGUGUGAGUCAUGGCUGAGAUGUGCUCUCUAUUCCAAAGGGACAGCUGGUGGCAGGAACAAAACAUCUCCCUAGAUACAUUGUCUGGCAGCCAUCCCCCUCCUGCUUUUUCCGGCUGUAACUACCGUUACGUGAUAAAUAAAUAAACACUCACUGACAGUGA
Molecule: long non-coding RNA, 1426 nt
Organism: Gallus gallus (chicken)
Lineage: Eukaryota; Metazoa; Chordata; Aves; Galliformes; Phasianidae
Exons: 3
Source: RefSeq, a predicted model, not a curated record